Long non-coding RNA from Cyprinus carpio carpio, 370 nucleotides. The record is from Ensembl. NCBI's taxonomy places the organism in Eukaryota, Metazoa, Chordata, Actinopteri, Cypriniformes, Cyprinidae.
AGUGUGAGUCUGUGGACGCUGACACUCUGGCCAGAAUUACAAGAAUUUUUCACCAGAGUUAUGAAAUAGGGCAGUAAGCAGUAGCCAUCAAUGUCCCAGAGAAUCAGUGUAAGAAAGGUUUCAAACCAUCAACAUCCCCCAACUUCCUGAAAGAAGACAAAAACGUAGAUGUGAAAAAUAUAAGUGCUGAUGAAAAACCAGUUUACGAAGGCAAAGAACUCAUUGCUGCAGGUGUACAGAGGACACCAAACACUGCUCAUUCAGAGUUUCUACUGAUGAAUCCUCCAAAUAAUUCACCCUUGACAAGAUUGUUGAAUAAGAGAAAGAAUGGUUGUGUGGUUUUCUACACUUUAAACUCUCCCUGUAUGAA